This 312-nucleotide ribosomal RNA is filed under the name uncultured marine bacterium. RNAcentral describes it as "bacterial SSU rRNA". It matches the Rfam family "Bacterial small subunit ribosomal RNA", at positions 1 to 347 of the family's 1533-position model. The record is from RNAcentral.
UAGAGUUUGAUCAUGGCUCAGAACGAACGCUGGCGGCAGGCCUAACACAUGCAAGUCGAGCGCUACCUUCGGGUGGAGCGGCGGACGGGUUAGUAACGCGUGGGAAUAUACCCAGUUCUAAGGAGUAGCCACUGGAAACGGUGAGUAAUACCUUAUACGCCCUCCGGGGGAAAGAUUUAUCGGAAUUGGAUUAGCCCGCGUUAGAUUAGAUAGUUGGUGGGGUAAUGGCCUACCAAGUCUACGAUCUAUAGCUGGUUUGAGAGGAUGAUCAGCAACACUGGGACUGAGACACGGCCCAGACUCCUACGGGGA